Long non-coding RNA from Hemicordylus capensis (graceful crag lizard), 2019 nucleotides. RefSeq lists it as uncharacterized. Lineage: Eukaryota; Metazoa; Chordata; Lepidosauria; Squamata; Cordylidae. The transcript is spliced from 2 exons. The record is from RefSeq and is a predicted model, not a curated record.
GGAGUUCUUGUAACCUAUUGAAAUCCACACGCAGGUUGGGAAAUAUAAAACCCACUUGCUCAUUCUGUACUCUUUAAAUAAUGCAAAAAUGUUAGGGCCAUCCGCUGAAGCUGCGUCUAAACGAGAGUGAGAUGGGGAAGAAGAGCUGCUGAUGGCAAAUUCACCUGGGAGUGGAUGUUGAGCCCAGAUGCUUCUCAAUCUUGCCCAUCCCCUUCAAUGGAAAAAGGGCUUCUGAACAGCGCCAGUCAUGGACAAAUCCCAACAUCUGCAUUCAGUCAUUUUGAAACUGAGGUUCAAGCUGAUGAGCCUGCCAGGCUGCAGAGAUCCCACAAGGCAGGGAAACCUCUUUCAGAAAAGUUCUCCACAGCCUGCACAAAAUGUUUCAAUUUGGGGAAUACUUUGGUUAUCUUGCCUAUUAUUGUUAAAGAAGCGGAAUACAGUCACUUUAUUGUAACUUUAGUCCUAUGGCUGGAGGAACACCAGGCUCCACCAGCCUAACUGUUCACCUGCUAUCAGUUUUUUCUUCUGUUCCUCCUCUCUUCUUCCCAAUUCCCUCCACAGCCUUCUAAUUAUGAAUCUGCCACAGCUGCCACUCCAGCAGAUUCCUGCUCCAACAGUGUUCCAUAGGGCUCUUGGUAAGGGACUAUGUUCAUAAUGAAACAUUGUAUGAAAGAAGGGCUUUCAGGGGCCUCAAAACUUUUAUCAACACCAUCCCUCACACACACACACACACACACACACACACACACACACACACUUCUUGUCUUGUCUUUUUGCUGCCCCACAUUUUUAAAAGUGCCUCCUUGCUGUUUACAUAAUCUAUUCUUAGCCAACUGAGGGUCAUAUAUGGCAUUAUCAAAUAGAUAUAACCUAUGUCACAUAGGAAAUGUUGUCCUCACUCAGAGUGGAUUUCACCACAUUGGCAGCCGCACAAAUCACCACUUCCUUUGGAGGGAAGUGUUUGCCAAAAGUAUCCCAUUUUGGCUAAGCUCUAUUUCUUAGAUUUCCUCACGACUCCUCGCCCCACCAAAACACACAAACACACACACACACACACAAACACCAGUCAAGCUGUCUUCUUAGCUGUGUCUUUUCUUUCAGUGUGUAGGUAAAUGUUCUGGUAAUAAAUUCAGAGAUAUGGAGUCCUAAAUGAGCUUUCUCUCUAGUAAGUGUUGGGACAAAAACUACUAACCAGUUCCCAUCUGGUUGGCUGUGUAGCUGCGAUGAGGCAAGGAGGACAGAAAGGUUAAUUCACCAGCAGGUCUCUGUCUUGUAAAUGCCUCCUUUUGCAUUAGUCUCCUGCUUUCUGAUCUGUAAGCUUAAUGGGAUCAUGUAGCUUUGGGCACCCUGACUGAACUGUGUAGAUCUAGUGAAUGUAGUACUCUCUUCCUCCUGUUAAAAACAGCUGAUGGCUGUAAGUUGGAGUCCUUGUGGAAACGGAGCUUUCAUAUCAUAUGCUUCCAUCUCAGUUUCUGUUGUCCACAUUUUCACUUACAGUAUGUAAGACUUGCUUAAAUCCUAGCAAUCACAGAACACUGCUUUGUGGCAAACACAUCAACUCAUCGUUUAUAGUCCAUGCAAUGCUUGUUGACUUCUUAAGCCUACUGAUUUCAGUGGGGUUUAAUCCCAUGGAAGUAGACAUCCAAUUGCAGCCUUAGAGUUCAACUUGAUGGGAAAUAUGACACUGAGUUUCCAUUGUUUAAUUAAAACAAAUAGCUGUGGGAGAUAUCCAGAUCAGGACUAUGUGGAAGUGUCACACACACACACACACACACACACACACACACACACACACACACACACCAGUCAUUUUGUGAUGAGAUUCACCACCCGGAAGGAGCUUUCUGUAUGAGUGUAAAUAGCUGCUUCUCUCCUGGGACAAAUAGCAGCAUCAGCAGGGGCAGUUUUUGUUUGGAAAAGGGUGCCAGAGGAAACUCUCCAACUUUGUGCUGCACUCUGGAUCAGGGGCAUAUGUAACACAACUGCGGUAUAACAAAAUUAAAGAUGGCAAUGCAAUGA